ACAUAUACAUCUAUGUACAAAUACGUAUUCUCUCUCUGUUAGCCUUUGUUUACUCGCGAGGCCGUCGACGCUGACUCUUUCGGUGUGUGUGCCGUACGGGAGCGCAGGAGACGUGACAGGCUUCUUCUCUCUAACGCACGGGAAGGCACUUACUCACCUUACAAGGCUCUUUGGGACUAAGGAUGGCGCCGCUUAACGCGACCGAUAUCGUGGUGAACACAGAGCCACCGCAGCGUCGCAUGGCUGGCGCCGCCGCGGUGCCGCCGCCCGCGCCUGGCACCUUUACCCCCGCGGAACGUGCCAUCGGGGGCGAGAUUCAGAUGCCCUUGGAGAAGAUCUUUGCCCGCGCCAACGAGGCAACGCCGAUGUACGAAAAACUCGGCAAGGUAGAGGGCAUCGCGAACACGCUGCACACGUCCCUGAAAAACGGCGUGGACGGCAACACCGUGGAGGCGCGCCGCGCCUUCUUUGGCAAGAACGCACUGCCCGAGGAACCGCCGCUAACCUUUUGGGAGAUGUACAAGGCCUCGUGGGAGGACAGCAUGAUCCGCCUGCUGACGGUGGCGGCCAUCGUGUCGCUCAUCCUGGGCCUCACCGUGCCGGAUCCCGGCGAGACGGAGGUGAACUACAAGACGGGCUGGAUCGAGGGCUUUGCCAUCAUCUGCUCUGUUAUCAUCGUGACCACAGUGUCAUCCGUUAACGACUAUAACAAGGAGAAACGGUUCCACAAGCUGACGGAGGAGAACUCCGCGCAGCCGGUUCGCGUGCGCCGUGGCGGAAAAGAUGUCACGAUCGAUGUGACGGAGAUUGUCGUGGGCGAUAUCGUGAACCUGUCGCCUGGCCUUGUGGUGCCUGUGGAUGGGUUCUACGUGACGGGCAUGAGCGUUGUGAUCGACGAGAGCAGCGUGACGGGCGAGAAUGACCCGAAGAAGAAGAACGCGAACGCGCCGAUCAUUUUGACAGGGACUGUGGUGAACACUGCGGAGGAUGCGUACAUGCUUGCGUGUGCCGUGGGUGAGCGCUCGUUCGGCGGCAAGCUGCUGAUGGAGUCGCGCGGCGCUGGUGCGCCUCGCCCGACGCCGCUGCAGGAGCGCCUGGACGAGCUUGCCGACCUCAUCGGCCGCAUCGGUCUCGGCGCUGCGAUGCUACUGUUCGCCUUGCUAUCCUUGAUGGAGGGGUUCCGGAUGCUGCAGCACGACUCGGGAGCUUCGUGCCGCCACUUCCUCGACUACUUCCUUCUCUGUGUCGCCAUCAUUGUGGUGGCCGUGCCGGAGGGUCUUCCGCUGGCCGUGACGAUCGCGCUUGCCUACUCUCAGAACAAGAUGCAUGACGACAACAACCAGGUGCGCCGCCUGCGCGCGUGCGAGACGAUGGGCAACGCGACGCAGAUUUGCAGCGACAAGACAGGCACGCUGACGCAGAACCUGAUGAGCGUGGUGCAGGGCUACGUUGGCAUGCAGCACUUUUCUGUGAAGCGUCCUGGCGACUUGCCGGAGCCGGUGCCGCUGUCUGGCAUGCGCGCGACCUCGCUUCGCCAGCUCAGCGAGGGCAUUGCGAUCAACAGCUCGAGCGAGAAGGUUGUGAGCACGACGGACAAGGAGGGCCACACGGUCGCGCCGUACUGGCAGUGGGUGGCGGACAAGGGCAACAAGACGGACAACGCGCUGCUGGACUUUGUGGACCGCGUUGCGAUGACGGAGGCGGACGCACGCGACAUGGGGUCGCGGCCGCACCAGCGGAUUCGCGAGGCGUGCCGGCAGCGCGGGUUCACGAUCUUCCCGUUCACGAGCGACCGGAAGCGGAUGAGCGCUGUUGUGCGGCAGGAGGACGGGACGCUGGUGCACCAUGUGAAGGGCGGGUCUGACCGUAUUCUGCCGCUGUGCGACCGGUACGUGAACGAGGCGGGCGACGAGGUGCCCAUGACGGACGAGGCGCGGGCGCGCAUUGCGCAGCAGGUGAAAAAGUUGGCGGACAUGGCGAACCGCACCAUCGGUGUCGCGUACGCGGUGCUUGGCGGCACUGAGCUUCCCGAGGAUGAACCGACCGAGAGCUUGGUAUGGCUGUCCCUGCUCGGCAUCCAGGACCCGCUGCGACCGGAGGUGGCGGAUGCCGUGAUGAAGUGCCAGGCGGCGGGAGUGACGGUGCGCAUGUGCACAGGUGACAACAUCGAUACGGCGGUGGCCAUCUCACGCCAGUGCGGCAUCUUCAACCGCUCUCGCGGCGAUCUUGCGAUGACUGGCCAGGACUUCCGCAAUCUUGUGUACGACGCGUACGGCGACGACGAGCGCAUGGCGAAGUUCUGGCCUGUGCUGGACCACAUGACGGUGAUGGCGCGCUCGCAGCCGCUGGACAAGCAGCUUCUUGUGCUGAUGCUGAUGACGCGCGGCGAGGUUGUCGCUGUGACCGGCGACGGCACGAACGACGCACCUGCGCUGCGCCUUGCGAACGUUGGGUUUGUGAUGCGGAGCGGGACGGACAUUGCGGUGAAGUCUGCGGACAUUGUGCUGCUGGACGACAACUUCCGCUCUGUGCAGCGCGCCGUUGUGUGGGGCCGGUGCGUGAACGACAACAUCCGCAAGUUCUUGCAGCUGCAGCUGACGGUGAACUACGUGUCCGUGGCACUGACGUUCAUCGGGUCGCUCAUGGCGGGCGGCCAUUCCUCGCCGCUGACGACGGUGCAGCUGCUGUGGGUGAACCUGAUCAUGGACACACUGGCCGCCUUGGCGCUUGCGACGGAGGAGCCGAGCGAGGAGUGCCUGAAGCGGCAGCCCAUUCACCGCAAGGCACCGCUGGUUUCGCGCCGCAUGCACAUGACGAUCACGUUGAUUGCUGUGUAUCACCUGGCUCUCGUACUCGUGUUGCAGGCGUUCGGUUACCGGUGGUUCGGCCUGGAGCGCUACAGCCGCGAGCACAGCACAAUCGUCUUCAACGUGUUUGUGUUCGGCGCCUUGUUCCAGAUGUUCAACUGCCGCAAGCUGUACGAUGAGGUGGACUUCUUCGAGGGCUUUGAGCGGUCGAAGCUUUUCGUUGUCGUCAUAUGCUUCUGUGUGUUGUUUCAGAUUAUCGCCGUGCAGACGUUCGGCGACUUCAUGGACGUCUGCCGCCUGCGGUUCUCGGAGUGGACGGUGUCGAUCAUGCUGACGUUCGCCACAAUCCCGCUCGGCAUGGUGUCGCGGUUGAUUCCUGUCGAGGAGGCGCACUUUGAGCGCGAGUUCGACGCGGAGAACAUCGACGAGGACGCAAGGCAGUUCUUGGUGAAGUUGGCGAAGGACGUAGAGCGCACCGCGGACGAGCGCGCGGGCCGGUCUGGUGAGGCGCUGAGCAAGGCGAAGCGUGCGCGUGUACUAAGCCUGUGGUACCGCGCGUACGCCGAGCAUGUGGGAACGCUGCGGGUCGUCAACGCGUUCCGCCGCGCGCACUUCGAUCGCGACAUGACGUCGGAGUUGUCGCGCAAUGUGUACCGCCAGAUGGUCGAGCUCACCUCACCGAAGCCGUAAGCUCCCUGGAUUUGAUGCACGAGUUAAGCGGCCACAAGUCGUGCCGGUGAAGGGUUGACGUGGUGGAGGGCUUGCCACGCCGGCUGGCGAUCCGACUGAAGCAGAGUCGCGCGGCUCAUGUGUGUCAUCCGCACCGAUCAGUGCGACAGCCACUUCAUCGUGCGCCCACACGAUCACACAUCCGUUCGCACAUCCGUCCACGUCAUCGCCACGACGUCUUCACGUGCGCGUCGUCUCCGCUCACUCCUUGCUUCGGUCUCUUCUGAAGAGGCCGCGCUUCUCGUUGGCGCCGUAUGCUACGGUGCACUUCCUUCGCUCGCUGUGUCUGUGUGCCUCGCCACGGCCCAAACAGCUGGAUCAGUGGAUGGCGCUGUACGGUGAAGCCUCUUGUUUGCACCUUCUCCUCCCGCUAGUCUUCACAGCCGUUGUGGUCGCAUCCUCCCCCUUGCCGUCUGCGUGCCGGCCCCGCGCGUGUCUCUUCUUUCUUCUGGACUCUCUUUUAUUGCUGUACCUUGCGCAGUUCUAUGGUGUUAUGUCUCUGCCUGUCUCUAUGCGCUUGCCCGUUCGCUCGUGGCAGUGGAUGCCGAGUGUUCGCCCACAUCUCUUCGCGCCUUCACCGUUGCUUCCACAUCCUUCGCGAUAACCCACACACACACACUCAGGACACGCGAUCUACGUACACAUAUGAGCCACCGUAUUCGCGGAGAGAGUGAAGGGGUUGAACGGUACGCGCAGAAGGGGGAGGUCAGGUGAGCGCAGCGCAGUAGAGGCUCUGUGUGUCCUUCCUGUGGCGCCUUUGUGGUUGUUUUGCGAUUUGCUUGGCUGUUGUGCACCCCUCUUCCUAUAUUGUGCCUUCUCUCUCUCCCUCCCGCUCGGCGCACGAGCACGUGGUGGGUGUAGAUGGCGUGUGGCGACAUGGGUCGAUUCAUGGAUGCCGUGGAAGGCACCGUGCGGUGACAGAAACGCGCCAUCUUUCCUUUGGACUCGGUGUCUUCGUCUGCUUGUCUCUGCGUGAGGGGAGCACAUAUGUGAUAGGGCGUAAGAAGAAAGAAGCGCACGCACACACAUAUACACACACACACACGUGGUCUCGUCUCACGCCCAUGGGAAGGCUCUGCAAAGGUGAGAGCGUACACGCAGGCAAGCCACUCCAACGGAGGCCCAUGAAUGCCGAGGCUCAUCUCUGUUUCAUGGCGAGCAGAGAAGACCCCCCUCCUCCUCCUCCCCGGAAAAAGCAAGAGGGCCAUCAGCGUCGCGGUGAAGGACGGAAAUGAUGGGAUGGGGAGGUGCAGCUUCAGCUGUUAGGGCGGCAGUGCAUUAAUCCAAUAAGCUCCGCUCCUUUUUUUUUUGGCCUCCCCCCUGUGUGUGUGUGCCGCAACCACCACCCCGGGUAGUAGGUGGGGUGACUGCCGUGGUGACUGCAGGGAUGCCGGCACAAUGAGCAGCGGCCCCGCCUCUCUGUGUCCAGUUUGUGAUGCACUCGUUUAUACUCUGCUUCGUGAAAGCCACCUCUAUCCUCCCUCUCUCUCCCUCUAUUUAUCGCGCGCGCUCUCCCGUCUUUGUCGCCCUCCUGCCACGCUGCGUGCCGCCGACGGACGACAACGGGCCGACACUCACGCACACGCCAAACCCUCACCACACACGCACUAACAG
Molecule: unclassified non-coding RNA, 5150 nt
Filed under: Leishmania donovani
Lineage: Eukaryota; Euglenozoa; Kinetoplastea; Trypanosomatida; Trypanosomatidae
Description: gene:LdHU3.07.0850(CDS-product:vacuolar-type_Ca2+ -ATPase_putative)
Source: RNAcentral